UAUUCAAUGAAAUGCAUUAUGCAAGAGCCCAAAUCAGUACCAGAUCUUUAGUUGCUGAGAAUAGCCUCAAUUUCAUGUGUAUUUGGAGAUAGCUCUAUUUUAAAUCUCAUUAGGUAAAUUUCUAAAACUGUGAUUAAACUGUAGCCACCCAAGGGAAAAUUAGAAAUAAAUUAGAAGUGUUACUGACUUGAGAUCUCUAAUUCUUUCUUGUGUGCAUACAGAAAUUAAGGAGCUUCUCUUUUCUGUAUUACAGGCUUGGAUGAGAAAUCCAGAAGAAAGUAUGUGUGAAAGAAAAAGAUGACAUCUGUGCAUGGCAAAACAAAUCCAAAGAUUAUUACAAUAAAAACAAACGGAGGUCAAGAGAACACUUACUAGUAAAGUGCAUUCUCCAGGUUCUGCUCUGUGUACUCUGCAUGGAAACUUCCAUUUACUACUUGGUCCUUGACCUAAAAAGCCCUCUUUCCUCCUUUUUCCAAGUGUGGAACCAGCAUUCAUGUACUUCUGCCAUCUUGCAUGGUGGGG
Molecule: long non-coding RNA, 522 nt
Filed under: Canis lupus familiaris (dog)
Lineage: Eukaryota; Metazoa; Chordata; Mammalia; Carnivora; Canidae
Description: lncRNA (ENSCAFG00000056919.1)
Source: RNAcentral